AGUGAACGCUGGCGGUAGGCCUAACACAUGCAAGUCGAACGGCAGCACAGUAAGAGCUUGCUCUUACGGGUGGCGAGUGGCGGACGGGUGAGGAAUACAUCGGAAUCUACUUUUUCGUGGGGGAUAACGUAGGGAAACUUACGCUAAUACCGCAUACGACCUACGGGUGAAAGCAGGGGAUCUUCGGACCUUGCGCGAUUGAAUGAGCCGAUGUCGGAUUAGCUAGUUGGGCGGGUAAAGGCCCACCAAGGCGACGAUCCGUAGCUGGUCUGAGAGGAUGAUCAGCCACACUGGAACUGAGACACGGUCCAGACUCCUACGGGAGGCAGCAGUGGGGAAUAUUGGACAAUGGGCGCAAGCCUGAUCCAGCCAUACCGCGUGGGUGAAGAAGGCCUUCGGGUUGUAAAGCCCUUUUGUUGGGAAAGAAAAGCAGCAGGUUAAUACCCCGCUGUUCUGACGGUACCCAAAGAAUAAGCACCGGCUAACUUCGUG
This 492-nucleotide ribosomal RNA is filed under the name uncultured bacterium. Its description in RNAcentral is "partial 16S ribosomal RNA". It matches the Rfam family "Bacterial small subunit ribosomal RNA", at positions 29 to 507 of the family's 1533-position model. The record is from RNAcentral.